UGUGGAGAUGGGGAGCUGUGGAUAUGGGGAGCUGUGGAGAUGGGGAGCUGGGGAGCUGUGGAGAUGGGGAGCUGUGGAGCUGGGGAGCUGGGGAGCUGUGGAGCUGGGGAGCUGGGAGCUGUGGAGAUGAGGAGCUGUGGAGCUCAGUAGCUGUGGAGAUGUGGAGCUGUGGAGCUGUGGAGCUGGGGAGAUGGGGAGUUGUGGAGAUGGGGAGCUGUGGAGAUGGGGAGCUGGGGAGCUCUGGGGAGCUGGGGAGCUGGGGAGCUGGGGAGCUGGGGAGAUGGGGAGCUGUGGAGCUGGGGAGCUGUGAAGAUGGGGAGCUGUGGAGAUGGGGAGCUGGGGAGCUGUGGAGCUGUGGAGAUGGGGAGCUGUGGAGAUGGGGAGCUGGGGAGCUGUGGAGAUGGGGAGCUGUGGAGCUGUGGAGAUGGGGAGCUGUGGAGAUGGGGAGCUGUGGAACUGUGGAGAUGGGGAGCUGUGGAACUGUGGAGCUGUGGAGAUGGGGAGCUGUGGAGAUAUGGAGCUGGGGAGCUGUGGAACUGUGGAGCUGUGGAGAUGGGGAGAUGUGAAACUGUGGAGCUGUGGAGCUGGGGAGCUGUGGAGAUGGGGAGCUGUGGAGCUCGGUAGCUGUGGAGAUGUGGAGCUGUGGAGAUGUGGAGCUGGGGAGAUGGGGAGCUGUGGAGAUGGGGAGCUGUGGAGAUGGGGAGCUGUGGAGAUGGGGAGAUGUGGAGCUGGGGAGAUGGGGAGCUGUGGAGAUGGGGAGAUGGGGAGCUGUGGAGAUGGGGAGCUGUGGAGCUGGGGAGCUGGGGAGCUGUGGAGCUGGGGAGAUGGGGAGCUGUGGAGAUGGGGAGCUGUGGAGCUCGGUAGCUGUGGAGAUGUGGAGCUGUGGAGCUGUGGAGCUGGGGAGAUGGGGAGCUGUGGAGAUGGGGAGCUGUGGAGAUGGGGAGAUGUGGAGCUGGGGAGAUGGGGAGCUGUGGUGAUGGGGAGUUGUGGAGAUGGGGAGCUGUGGAGAUGGGGAGCUGUGGAGAUGGGGAG
Molecule: long non-coding RNA, 1032 nt
Organism: Oncorhynchus tshawytscha (Chinook salmon)
Lineage: Eukaryota; Metazoa; Chordata; Actinopteri; Salmoniformes; Salmonidae
Source: Ensembl